GAUGAACGCUCGCUACAGGCUUAACACAUGCAAGUCGCGGGGCAGCAUGGGGGUUGCUUGCCAUCCCCGAUGGCGACCGGCGCACGGGUGAGUAACGCGUAUCCAGCCUGCCCUUCACCACGGGAUAACCCGGCGAAAGUCGGACUAAUACCGUAUGUUGUCCAUUGACGGCAUCCGAUUUGGACGAAAGGCUUGGCGGUGAGGGAUGGGGAUGCGUCCGAUUAGCCAGACGGCGGGGUAACGGCCCACCGUGGCUACGAUCGGUAGGGGUUCUGAGAGGAAGGUCCCCCACACUGGAACUGAGACACGGUCCAGACUCCUACGGGAGGCAGCAGUGAGGAAUAUUGGUCAAUGGGCGUAAGCCUGAACCAGCCAAGUAGCGUGCAGGAUGACGGCCCUAUGGGUUGUAAACUGCUUUUAUGCGGGGAUAAAGUGGCCCACGUGUGGGCUUUUGCAGGUACCGCAUGAAUAAGGACCGGCUAAUUCCGUG
This 490-nucleotide ribosomal RNA is filed under the name uncultured bacterium. Its description in RNAcentral is "partial 16S ribosomal RNA". It matches the Rfam family "Bacterial small subunit ribosomal RNA", at positions 28 to 507 of the family's 1533-position model. The record is from RNAcentral.